Molecule: ribosomal RNA, 305 nt
Filed under: uncultured bacterium
Lineage: Bacteria
Description: bacterial SSU rRNA
Rfam family: Bacterial small subunit ribosomal RNA
Source: RNAcentral
CCUACGGGGGGCAGCAGUGGGGAAUAUUGCACAAUGGGGGAAACCCUGAUGCAGCGACGCCGCGUGAGUGAAGAAGUAUUUCGGUAUGUAAAGCUCUAUCAGCAGGGAAGAAAAUGACGGUACCUGACUAAGAAGCCCCGGCUAACUACGUGCCAGCAGCCGCGGUAAUACGUAGGGGGCAAGCGUUAUCCGGAUUUACUGGGUGUAAAGGGAGCGUAGACGGUGAUGCAAGUCAGAAGUGAAAGCCCGCGGCUCAACUGCGGGACUGCUUUUGAAACUGUAUAACUAGAGUGCAGGAGAGGUAA